This is a long non-coding RNA of Alosa sapidissima (American shad), 182 nucleotides long. RefSeq lists it as uncharacterized. The transcript has 3 exons. NCBI's taxonomy places the organism in Eukaryota, Metazoa, Chordata, Actinopteri, Clupeiformes, Clupeidae. The record is from RefSeq and is a predicted model, not a curated record.
UUAAUGGAUGUUGAUAGACAGAUAGUUUAAUGGAUGAAGUGAAGAAAAAGAAGUGAAAGAAAGUGGGAAAGAGAAAAGUGAGCUAUCCAGUUCAAUGGAGAGAGACACAGAGAAGAGGUUCCAUUGAAAUUGCUGCAGUCAGUGAGAGAGCGCAGGUGCAGUUGAUUGCAUGAACACAAAUA